AUUGAACGCUGGCGGAAUGCUUUACACAUGCAAGUCGAACGGCAGCACGGGGCAACCUGGUGGCGAGUGGCGAACGGGUGAGUAAUACAUCGGAACGUGCCCAAUCGUGGGGGAUAACGUAGCGAAAGUUACGCUAAUACCGCAUACGAUCUACGGAUGAAAGCGGGGGACCGAAAGGCCUCGCGCUAACAGAUGAGCCCAAGUCGGAUUAGCUAGUUGGUGGGGUAAAAGCCUACCAAGGCGACGAUCCGUAGCUGGUCUGAGAGGACGAUCAGCCACACUGGGACUGAGACACGGCCCAGACUCCUACGGGAGGCAGCAGUGGGGAAUAUUGGACAAUGGGGGAAACCCUGAUCCAGCAAUGCCGCGUGUGUGAAGAAGGCCUGCGGGGUUGUAAAGCACUUUUGGCAGGGAAGAAAAGCACUGGCCUAAUACACCAGUGUGUUGACGUAACCUGCAGAAGAAGCACCGGGCUAACUCUGUGCCAGCAGCCGCGGUAAU
RNAcentral lists this ribosomal RNA (501 nucleotides) under uncultured bacterium. RNAcentral describes it as "bacterial SSU rRNA". It matches the Rfam family "Bacterial small subunit ribosomal RNA", at positions 29 to 524 of the family's 1533-position model. The record is from RNAcentral.